UACGGGGGGGGCAAGCGUUGUUCGGAAUUACUGGGCGUAAAGGGCUUGUAGGUGGCCAACUAAGUCAGACGUGAAAUCCCUCGGCUUAACCGGGGAACUGCGUCUGAUACUGGAUGGCUCGAGUGUGGGAGAGGGAUGCGGAAUUCCAGGUGUAGCGGUGAAAUGCGUAGAUAUCUGGAGGAACACCGGUGGCGAAGGCGGCAUCCUGGACCGGCAUUGACGCUGAGGCGCGAAAGCCAGGGGAGCAAACGGG
Molecule: ribosomal RNA, 253 nt
Filed under: uncultured bacterium
Lineage: Bacteria
Description: partial 16S ribosomal RNA
Rfam family: Bacterial small subunit ribosomal RNA
Source: RNAcentral